RNAcentral lists this non-coding RNA (28 nucleotides) under Mus musculus (house mouse). The record is from RNAcentral. Lineage: Eukaryota; Metazoa; Chordata; Mammalia; Rodentia; Muridae.
UAUUUUAGUGUGUUUUUUGCAACCUUGC